AUUCAAGAAGAAGUAAUCCAAAAUUACAAAGAGCAUCACAGAGUAGUAAUUUGGAGAGGACACCUUCUUUGCCAGUUUUUGUAGACUACAAAGAUGAAAUCCAAGAUGAAGAAAGUGAAUUUUCUAUGGGAAAGUUGAUUAGACAAGCAUCUAUAAACCAUGUAAAAGUCUCACCUCCUAAACAAACUUCACCACAGAGUUGUCUGCAGAGGGCACCUUCUUUACCAGUUUUUGCAGAAAGGGAAGAAAUUCAUGAACCAAAACAAAGUUCACCACAGAGUAGUCUGCAGAGGGCACCUUCUUUGCCAGUUUUUGCAGAAAGGGAAGAAAAUCAUGAUGAGGAAAAUGACUUUUCUGUGGGAAAGUUGAUAAGACAAGCAUCUUUAAGCCAUGCAAGAGUCUU
This 403-nucleotide long non-coding RNA is filed under the name Nicotiana benthamiana. RNAcentral's name for it is "long non-coding RNA (NBEN_LNC003221)". The record is from RNAcentral. Lineage: Eukaryota; Viridiplantae; Streptophyta; Magnoliopsida; Solanales; Solanaceae.